Molecule: long non-coding RNA, 392 nt
Organism: Sorex araneus (European shrew)
Lineage: Eukaryota; Metazoa; Chordata; Mammalia; Eulipotyphla; Soricidae
Exons: 3
Source: RefSeq, a predicted model, not a curated record
CGGGGGGCGUGCGGGCUGUUUGUCUCGGAGCGACCGCUGACUCCACUCCCCGUCCGGCUCGGACCCCGGAUUCCAGCGCCGCCGGGCCCCCGCCGUGCACCCGGUGCCGGUGCCGUUCCGCCCAGAGCGGCUUGGAGAGAUGGAGACACUCGCUCUGGAUGAAGAAACCGCUGCUGAGAAAUACUUGGCAGAGAGAGACCCUUUAAAGGUGGAGAAUAGCCAAGUAACAGUGUUCGUCCGUGUCCGGCCCUUCAGCACAAGAGAGAAAAUGGAAAAAAGCAUCUCAAGUAGUCUUCCAGAAGGAGGAAGAAAUAGCAGUGGAACAUCCGGACAUGAAACAAGUUUAUCAUUUUGUUUAUGACGUUUGUUUUUGGUCCUUCGAUGAAUGCCAC